This 464-nucleotide ribosomal RNA is filed under the name uncultured bacterium. RNAcentral describes it as "SSU rRNA". It matches the Rfam family "Bacterial small subunit ribosomal RNA", at positions 26 to 518 of the family's 1533-position model. The record is from RNAcentral.
AGAACGAACGCUGGCGGCAUGCCUAACACAUGCAAGUCGAACGCUCUUGGGAUUUCGGUCUCAAGGGAGUGGCGCACGGGUGAGUAGCGCGUGGGAACCUGCCCUGUUGUGGGGGAUAACCGAGGGAAACUUCGGCUAAUACCGCAUACGCCCCGGAGCAAUCCGGGGGAAAGAUUUAUCGCAGCAGGAGGGGCCCGCGUCGGAUUAGGUAGUUGGUGGGGUAACGGCCCACCAAGCCUGUGAUCCGUAGCUGGUCUGAGAGGAUGAUCAGCCACACUGGGACUGAGACACGGCCCAGACUCCUACGGGAGGCAGCAGUGGGGAAUAUUGGACAAUGGGCGCAAGCCUGAUCCAGCAAUGCCGCGUGAGUGAUGAAGGCCUUAGGGUUGUAAAGCUCUUUCGCCCGCGACGAUGAUGACGGUAGCGGGAGAAGAAGCCCCGGCUAACUUCGUGCCAGCAGCCGC